RNAcentral lists this ribosomal RNA (275 nucleotides) under uncultured Eubacteriales bacterium. Its description in RNAcentral is "uncultured Clostridiales bacterium partial 16S ribosomal RNA". It matches the Rfam family "Bacterial small subunit ribosomal RNA", at positions 74 to 339 of the family's 1533-position model. Lineage: Bacteria; Bacillati; Bacillota; Clostridia; Eubacteriales. The record is from RNAcentral.
AUCCCUUCGGGGUGACGAUGUAAGUAUCUUAGCGGCAAACGGGUGAGUAACGCGUGAGAAACCUGCCAUUCACAGGGGGAUAGCCUCGGGAAACCGGGAUUAAUACCCCAUGAUACUGGACCAUUACAUGAUGGAUCAGUUAAAGCGUAAAGCGGUGAAUGAUGGUCUUGCGUCCCAUUAGCUAGUUGGUGAGAUAAAAGCUCACCAAGGUAACGAUGGGUAGCCGGCCUGAGAGGGUGAUCGGCCACACUGGAACUGAGAACGGUCCAGACUCC